UAACUUUAGUCAAAGUCAAACUGCUUCAAGUUUGACCAAGUUUAUAGAAAAAAAAGUAAUAUUUUUGACCCAAGAUAAAUUUAUUAUAAAAAUGUAUUUAAUUAUUAAUUUAAUAAAACUAAUUUGGUAAUGUAAAUAUUACUAUAUUUGUCUGUAAACUUAGUCAAACAUGAAGUAGUUUGACUUUGACCAAAGUCAA
RNAcentral lists this microRNA precursor (199 nucleotides) under Oryza glumipatula. RNAcentral's name for it is "MIR1435 microRNA precursor family". It matches the Rfam family "MIR1435 microRNA precursor family". The record is from Rfam by way of RNAcentral. Lineage: Eukaryota; Viridiplantae; Streptophyta; Magnoliopsida; Poales; Poaceae.